This is a long non-coding RNA of Cottoperca gobio, 382 nucleotides long. RefSeq lists it as uncharacterized. The transcript has 5 exons. The record is from RefSeq and is a predicted model, not a curated record. NCBI's taxonomy places the organism in Eukaryota, Metazoa, Chordata, Actinopteri, Perciformes, Bovichtidae.
AAAAGCCAUGUGUACAAAACUCGGACCUGAAGGAGAAGAAGCUGCUGGAGGAGAAGGAGAACGGCAAAGAUGCCGCCACCAACGGAAAGGAGAAUGAGGAGAACGGCGAGCCUGAGGUAGAUGAUGAAGAUGAUGAUGAGGUUGACGAGGAGGACGAGGAAGACGAUGUAGAAGGUGACGAGGAAGACGAGGAGGACGAUGAUGAUGAAAUUGAGGGCGGCACAAAACGGGCAGCUGAGGAUGACGACGACGACGACGAGGACGACGUCGAAACCAAGAAGCAGAAAACCGACGACGACGAUUGAUGCGUUUCCCCCCCACGCCACUUCCUGGUUUCUUCACCUCUGACUGUUUUUAUAUGUCACCUGGGGGGGGGCGGGAG